This 301-nucleotide ribosomal RNA is filed under the name uncultured bacterium. RNAcentral's name for it is "partial 16S ribosomal RNA". It matches the Rfam family "Bacterial small subunit ribosomal RNA", at positions 509 to 807 of the family's 1533-position model. The record is from RNAcentral.
CAGUAGCCGCGGUAAAACGGAGGGGGCUAGCGUUGUUCGGAAUUACUGGGCGUAAAGCGCACGUAGGCGGCUUGGUAAGUUAGAGGUGAAAGCCUGGAGCUCAACUCCAGAAUUGCCUUUAAGACUGCCGAGCUAGCAGGUGAGAGAGGUAAGUGGAAUUCCGAGUGUAGAGGUGAAAUUCGUAGAUAUUCGGAAGAACACCAGUGGCGAAGGCGGCUCACUGGCUCAUACUGGACGCUGAGGUGCGAAAGCGUGGGGAGCAAACAGGAUUAGAUACCCGAGUAGUCCCUGUCUCUUAUAC